Molecule: small nuclear RNA, 110 nt
Organism: Equus asinus (donkey)
Lineage: Eukaryota; Metazoa; Chordata; Mammalia; Perissodactyla; Equidae
Source: Ensembl
GUGCUCGCUUCAGCAGCGCAUGCACUGAAAUUGGAACAAUACGGAGAAGAUUAGUGUGGUGGACCCUGUGCGAGGACGACAUGCGAGUUCAUGAAGCAUUCCACAUUUUC